GGACAGCUACGACUUAAACUCUAUAUCAAUUCGUAGAGUGGUGAAUGCACACUUGACCACUCCCUUCAUAUGCUGUUGUCAUCAUCAAUUUAAGAUGUCUCCAAGAGUCAUAACUAGGUGUUCUUUCAGUACUUUUGUAAAGUUAUUGGUCUGGAACCUGAGGGCCCGUUGGUGGUCUAUAAAUUCAUUCCAAAUGAAAACUUAUACCAAAGACUGCACGUCUCCCAUUCUUAAUCUUUGAUAAAAUUCCUGAACGGAACUGAGACAGAGAUAUGUGUAUCAUGCACUG
RNAcentral lists this long non-coding RNA (289 nucleotides) under Elaeis guineensis (African oil palm). RNAcentral describes it as "long non-coding RNA (EGUI_LNC057076)". Lineage: Eukaryota; Viridiplantae; Streptophyta; Magnoliopsida; Arecales; Arecaceae. The record is from RNAcentral.